Molecule: long non-coding RNA, 2150 nt
Filed under: Homo sapiens (human)
Lineage: Eukaryota; Metazoa; Chordata; Mammalia; Primates; Hominidae
Description: HSALNT0358524
Source: RNAcentral
GUUUCCUUCCUGGAGUUGUGGUGGGUUUCCGGGUGUCAGCAGCGCCCCUGAUUUUGUUGCCCUUUGGUGGCCCCGGGUCUCCCAGGUGUUGGCCGGGCUCCUACGGAGGCUGCCUGCGGCCUGCCCUGCCCCCACUGCUCAGUGUAGUCCUUUUCCUGGUUGGAGGCCCACGGCCGGCUAGAUUUCGACCUGGACCCUCUCAUCUGCCCUUCUCCACCGAGCAGGUGGAAGAGUGGUGGCGGGAAUGCGCCAGCUCUGACCUCCCUGCGGUGCGCGCUGCGGGGCUGGGAGCAACUGUGCUGGGUUCUGAGGCCCAUGCGGGUGCCUUCUUGGAGCCGCGCCAGCACCAGAAAUCGCCCGGGCUCGGAGUCCCAAUUAGAGGCGAUGGUAUCGUUUUACAUUCCUAGCAUCAGUGUACGAGGCCCAGUUCCUCCACAUCCUCGCCAACACGUGGUAUGUACUUUAAUCAGCAUUUAAUGACCCAGUCGAAAAUUCAUUGUUUGGACCCAAGCACUGGUGGGAAAGGCAGGAGGGGAGGCCUGCCUUCCUUCCUCCCUCCCGAGCCCUACAGCAGGCCAUGGAGUGGUGAGCGAGUUCGUACAGUGCCAACCACAUUCCCAGAAACUUCCAGCAGAGGUUAAUCCUGCUCCUCUCAGGUGGGCUUGGCCCAUUCUCUAGACUUUGGAAGGUAAUGUUCUAUAGAGGCCUGUUCUGAAGCUUUACCAGGUCAAACCGGAGAAGAACCCAACAAGUAACUCAUCCCAGCCUAACUAUUCUUCAAGGGCAAUCAACCUACAGCAUCCAAGCACAGAGAAAUCAAAUCCAUGGAGAAUCUUCAAAUUAGGCUCAGAAUCCAUUUGGGUCAAUGAAUUUACUGUUAUUAAGAUCUUAGUUGUGUUCAACCAUGAUUUGACAUACCUUAGAGUGAGAAGAUAUUCUUCCUGGCCUCAGACUAGUUGAAGGUAGAGAGAGAGACAGGCCCUUGGGUGUGGGGAGACCUCUCCUGGGAUAAUACACACAAAAAACCAAGAGCUGCUCACUGUGGUGCAGGAGACAGCAGGGCCUGAAGCCAGAGGCUCUGUGUCCUUGAAUACAAUGUUUUACUCCUCUGACCCCUGUUACUGUGAUUUGGAGAGGCAGACAAUAUAGGAUGGGCUUUGCAGGCAGGGAGGUCCAGUUAUAAUCCCAGCUCUUACUAAGUUGGGUAAGACUCACUCUGAGACUUAGUUUCUUCUGUCAUCUCUCAAUAGAAUCAUAAAGGUACUUUCCUCUUAGUGUUGUUUUAAAAUUCAGUAAAAUAAUGCAGGCUUAGCACAGGGUCUGAUGUAAAUUUUCAAUGAAUUAUCGUUGUCAAUAUUGUUCUGGAAAACAAGAGGGCAUAUUAGAAGAUCAAAAGUACUGCCAAGCAUUGAAGUGCCAAUUCUAGAUCCAGUCUCAGCCCUCUGAGAAUGGAUAUCAUUGUUUUCAAGCCAUUCAGAAACCAAUGUGAAUUGAACACCUAGUAUGAGCUCUCUGAGGGAAGAGCCAAGUCAUGCAUUUUUUAUCUUAAGGGGUCUUCAAUACCUCUAGCCCAAAACAGUAUCUCCAUCAGGAUUCUUCUCUGAUAGUGUUCAUUUCUUUUUUCUCAAUGGAUGCCUUAAAAAAAAAAUCCUACAAGGAAACCUGUACUCCUCAAAUACACCACUCAGGUGACCAUUAAAUCAUUUACAUUGUUAAUUUCUUUUCAGAUGUGUGUCUUUUUCCCUAGUUACAUCAUCAGGACCUUGAAGGUAGGGACAGGUCUUAGAUUUCUUGAUGCCCCCAUAAAUCUAGGUACAGAGUAGGUCUCUGGACAUCAGUAUAAGGCCCAUGAGCCUGAUAGCUGCCCAGGUGGGUGCUGUGUGCCUGGGCGUGGGAAGGACAAAAGAGAGGUCACUAAAGGGGUUCCUGGGAAGGAAGAGCCCCUCUGACUUUAAAAGGGAGCCCAUACACUUUUUGGACAACUGGAAUAAUCAGAAAGCUGUUUUUGGGGAGGCAGCAGCCAGAAAAACCUGGGGCAUUGGGUCAACCAAAGCCCUUCCCAAGGCUGCAGUGGCUGCAGCUAGUUAGCCCAGCUUCCCUACCAGCCCCAGGGCUGCAACUGAACAGUGUUGGCUUCUUAAUAAAAACAG